GAUGAACGCUGGCGGCGUGCUUAACACAUGUAAGUCGAACGAAGCACUUUAUUUGAUUUCCUUCGGGACUGAUUAUUUUGUGACUGAGUGGCGGACGGGUGAGUAACGCGUGGGUAACCUGCCUUGUACAGGGGGAUAACAGUUGGAAACGGCUGCUAAUACCGCAUAAGCGCACAGCAUCGCAUGAUGCAGUGUGAAAAACUCCGGUGGUAUAAGAUGGACCCGCGUUGGAUUAGCUAGUUGGUGAGGUAACGGCCCACCAAGGCGACGAUCCAUAGCCGACCGGAGAGGGUGACCGGCGACAUUGGGACUGAGACACGGCCCAAACUCCUACGGGAGGCAGCAGUGGGGAAUAUUGCACAAUGGGCGAAAGCCUGAUGCAGCGACGCCGCGUGAGCGAAGAAGUAUUUCGGUAUGUAAAGCUCUAUCAGCAGGGAAGAUAAUGACGGUACCUGACUAAGAAGCACCGGCUAAAUACGUG
Molecule: ribosomal RNA, 481 nt
Filed under: uncultured bacterium
Lineage: Bacteria
Description: partial 16S ribosomal RNA
Rfam family: Bacterial small subunit ribosomal RNA
Source: RNAcentral